Molecule: long non-coding RNA, 369 nt
Filed under: Mustela putorius furo (domestic ferret)
Lineage: Eukaryota; Metazoa; Chordata; Mammalia; Carnivora; Mustelidae
Description: lncRNA (ENSMPUG00000027769.1)
Source: RNAcentral
GGUAUCUGUCACAUUGUGGGUGCUGAGGAAUGUUUCAAUGAUUUCAUUAAUGAUACUGCUUUGUUUCACAUGCACAGCUAGCACAGAUACUAAAGAGGUAUCGCUCUAAGGAGACUUCACACAUUCUGCUAAUGCAAAAGAGGAGAUUAAAGCCCAAUGGGGAGAAACUGGACUGCAUCUCAACCAUGCAACUGGUCUAUGAAUUUGACCUUUCAACAACCUGCUGACCGAGGAUUCCCCAGGAGCCUCAGAUCAAGGAAAUAACAUCCCCCCAGAAGAGAGAAUAAAAACAGAAUUAAAAAAGAAAGAAAGAAAGAAAGAAAGCAAGCUUGAUACCCGGCUAUGCUGGUAUCUUUCUAAAGCACUAAC